CAGCAUGUGGGUGGCUCCAGGCUCUGGGGCCCGGCAGAGCUGGGCUGCCGUGCCCUAGUGGCUCUCCUGACCUUCCCCUGUCACCUGCAGCCAGCUACCCAUCCUGGCAAGGUGUCAGAAUAAACUUCCUUGGUGAAGAGACACGAGUUUGGAUCACAACGUGCAGGCUGUGCUCUCGCAGUUAGCCGCGUGGCACUCACAGCUGUUACCAGGUGCCAGGAGAUGACGUGGCUCAUCAUCAGGGUUUAUUUUCAGUAACGUGUAGAUGCACUGAAGACAAAACACAGCUUUCCACUCCCAUCGCGUUCUCCAGCUGGGUUACAGGGGAAGCUCGAUCACGGCAGAGCCUCCCGAGCCAGCAUGAGCCCUGUUGGGGUCCCGCGAUGAGGCUGAGGCUGGAGCUCUCCCGGCACAAGCAGGAGCUGUUCUUGGCCGCUCACCUCUUGCCCUGGCCAUCGCCUGGUCCUCUGCCUUCCUCAGCCUCGAGAAACGCACCGGGGACCAGCAGCACUCUGGGGACUCUGCUGGGAGAGCUGCUCCUGUGGCGUCGGGAAGCGACUUCUCCUGCCGCUCUAGCCCGGGCUGACAGGGACAGCUCCUGCCAGCCCGGGCUGCUCUGAGCCCCAGUGCCCAGCCUGGCCCCGCGGCGCUCGGAUUGCCGCUGCUGCUGCUGCUGCUGCUCAGAGGGACCCCGAGAUGGGUUAGAAAGUCUCCUUUCCCAGCCCGGUGGCUGAAGAAGGAGUCAGAGCUCUUCAGUUCUCGCUCUCAAGGAUUCUGUCUGGGCAGUGCCAGCUUCUAACUCUGAAUCCUGACGGCGUCUUCAGGACUGAGCGAGGCAGGAAGAAGUUCAUUUCAUUCUGAUAAUGGAGCAAUAAAUUCUCUUUCUCUGAAAGA
Molecule: long non-coding RNA, 894 nt
Organism: Haemorhous mexicanus (house finch)
Lineage: Eukaryota; Metazoa; Chordata; Aves; Passeriformes; Fringillidae
Exons: 3
Source: RefSeq, a predicted model, not a curated record